AAGCCAUGUCCCAUCUAUCUGCUGUCUCUUGAGUGUUCUUCCAGCUCCCUGCCCUCCAUCCACCCUCUCCCCUCAGACCUCAACUGGGGCUUGAACCUGACAUUUGACAUAGUCAGCAGGAUAAGGUGAGUGGGCCUUAAGCCCCUGAGGCUCCCGGGUUGGCUAUGUGGCUGCAGAAUGGGUUGUGGUACCCGGUGGCAGUGGUGCUACUAGGAUGGGCCCCAAAGGAAACAUGGGAGGUAGUGGAGGGGUCUCCCAUGAGUGUGGAGAAAGCACUGAAGGAGCUGGAAGCACAUAGCACUGAGAAGAAAUGCACCUUCACUGGCAGAGUCGGAUGGGUGUUUCUGACUGAACUGUGGGAAGUACAUGUUCAGUCCCUGCGGGAUGCUGCACAGAUUUAGAAGUGGUGGCACUCUUCUGGCGGCAACAUUUAGCAGCAUGUGGUUGGGCUGUCAAUGAAUCCAAGGUCCAAGGGCCUGGAUUGUCUACCAAAUUCUUGGGAGUUAUUUGGUCAGGUUGGCAUGCUCCAACAUCAUUGUGGACAGGGCCCACACCUAUGGCAAAGUGACCAAUGUCUCCAACUGUUGGAUCUGCACUGUCCUUCCAGCAGCAGCUGUAGAUGGCCUGCCGUGGCAUGUACAUUCAGCUUCUGUGAAAAACUGGAUGAGGCUAGAGACUUGGGGUCUCAUGGACAAUGGUUGGGAUGCAACAUGGCAAACUUUGGAUAGGGGGCAUUGCAAAACCUGCAUUGCAAAAAAUGCCUGCCCCCUGGCUGACCCAUAGCAUUCAUGAUGAAUGGGGCUGGCUAAUGAGAGAACACAUGGUGCCCCCAUUGCAGGUACCAUAAUAUAUAGAUCAACACUGGGGUAAAGUCACUGUGGGAUGGUUGCCCACCGUGGCCUGUAAAAACAUAACACAUGUCACCACACCAAGGCUGUGGUGGAACAAGCUGCCUUACCGAGGCUGAGCCCUGAUGGACUUUGUAUCCCUGGGAGUUUAUGGGUCUGAGGGGACACGGGAUGGCCAUAUCUGCCAGCCAAUUGGACUGGAUGUUUUACUUGGCGGUGCCCUUAUGUGCCUGCCACCGUACUUCCCUCAUUGCCUAGGUGCCUGCACAACUGGAAGGUGCUACAUUCCUGGUUUUCGCCAGUGUGGUGGGCCCCCUGGUGGCUCUACCCCUUAGCAAUAACUAUCAUUGGAGCAGUUUUCAUCACUGUAGAAAUGCAGAUUACAGCCCUUGCAUAACACACAGUUCAGGUCCUGAAUUACACCCGAGUUGCCCUCCUUCUAUUAAUUGAUGAGGUUGAUCAAACCAGGAAGGUAGUACUGCAAAACUGGAUGGCCUUAGACAUAGUAACAGCUGACCAAGGUGGCACCUGUGCCCUUACAGGGUCACAAUGUUGUACAUAUAUCCCUGACAACCACCAGAACAUAAUAGCAGCUUUACAAGGGGUGUUACAGGAGAUUAAGGUGAUUGAGUGCCUUAUUGAUGACCCCCUACAGAGAUGGUGGGCGUCUCUGGGCUCUAACCUACAUUGGGCCCUAAUAAUAAUGGGUAGUUAUAGCAGGAAUAUUAGUGAUAGGCUGUUGCUCCCUGUAUUGUUGCUGUGGCCUAUGGGUUCAGGGUGCCAUCAUAUGUGCACAGGUCCCCACUAAGAGGACUCCCCCGGCCUAGGGGAUGGAUUGUAAGGAACAUGGCUGUACUGCAGCCAGGCAGGCAUAGGCCGAGGUAAACAUCCUGCAUGACUCAGUGGGAUUGGAGUGCAGGUGCACAAUUCCAUGCAUUAUAUAACCACAGCUAUGUAGCCAUAACAUGGGAAGGCUCAUCACCUGGCUCUGAGCCACUAUUGUCUGUGAGGUGUAUAAAUGCAGGACUGACACUGUGAAAGAGCUGCUGAAUAAAGCCAUGUCCCAUCUACCUGCUGUCUCUUGAGUGUUCUUCCAACUCCCUGUUCCCCGUCCACUCAGUCCCUUGGGACCUCGGCUGGGGCUUGAAGAUGACAAUAUAGUUCCUCAAUACUUUUUAAAAGAAUAAAUGAACAUAUGAAUGAUGAAAGACAAAUAACACUAUUUUAG
RNAcentral lists this long non-coding RNA (2076 nucleotides) under Homo sapiens (human). RNAcentral describes it as "HSALNT0287208". The record is from RNAcentral. Lineage: Eukaryota; Metazoa; Chordata; Mammalia; Primates; Hominidae.